GCCGGGGCACCGAGCGGACUGCUGGCACAUUCCUAGAGGCAGACAUGGCUGCUAGCUUCCGAGGUCUCAGUAGGGUUGUGGGGGUCUCUCCCCGCCUUGCUUGGAGACGAGUUCACUCAGAAGCUGGGGGACACGUGAAGGCCGAGUACGAUGCGGUGGUGAUAGGAGCAGGCAGCUACGGAACCUGUGCCAGGGCAGCCCCUCUCAAGGUUCUGCUGACUGAGGAGCCAGGGCGGCAGCCUGGGGAUGAGCCAAGCCUGCAGCCUAGGAUCUCCCAAGGCCGCAGGAGAGCUCUACUGGAACUUGGGAAGAUUCUGAGCUUUUGGACCCUUGCCAUGACACAAUGGGCUGGUGGCUGUGAGUACUUCCCUUUUGGCCCCAUGUCACUGGCCCUGGAGCCUGUGACUCCCAGCACGCUGAGCAACAGCAUGAGGAAGCAGGCAGGGUUAAGGCCCAGGACAGCUGUCCAUUCUCCCAGUACCCAUCUACAGCCAGUCAGGGAGGGUGUCACAGUUCCCUCUCUUGGCCUAUCCUAAGGCAUGUGGUCCCCCCAUGCCCUGUGGGCAGUCAGGGAGCAUUGAGAAGUGUGCUGAUGAAAAAUGGGAAGACAUACACAUAACUGGCCCAGAGGAAGUGGAUUAGAGCCUGAGGAUCAGGACCGGGGGCUAGAAGGGACUCUGACUCCAGGUUAAGGACUGUCCUUGUCUAGAGGGACUGUGCUCCCCAGCAAGAUUUAAGUGGUGUACCACCCAGAGCACAUAGUUGCCCUGUGUCCAAAGUGUGCCCUGGCAAGGUGAGGAGCCCCACCUCACAGAGGGGCCGGGGACCCUAUGCUAGCACAGCUGGCUUCUAGAUCCCACACUAGCUGGGCCAGAAUCACCCCCAAGCUGUGCUUCUCCCUGAGCCCAUACACCUCAAAGAGGCCACAGAACAAAUGUGGGCCAUCAUCUGAAAGCAGUGGCAGCUCUGGAAUAUCAAGAUAGGGAAACUUGGAGAAACAGUGAGAUGCCAAGGGACAUUUGCUAACCCUUAAUCCUUUGCCUGAUGCAUCGGUUUUAUUUGAACAUUCUACAAUAAUUUUAACUGGUUUUAUUAUUAAUGUAAACAUGGGUUUGUGUCCCAGCUCUACCACUUCUCUCUGUAAAGGUGAUUCAUAUGGCCUUUCUGGGCCACAGUAAAAUGGGAAUAACGGCUCCCACCUUGCAGAGAUGCUGUGAAGGUAACAGUGUGCAGCACAGACCUGGCAUGUUAAGCUUGUCACAAGUGGUGGCUCUUAUUGGAUGUGUUCAGCCCAGGGAAGGCUAGUGUCCUCCAAGGGGCACCAGGAUCACAGCUAUGGUUAUCCAAGUUGAGUUUCUUACUCAUUGCAGCAAGGGAGAAACACACUGGGGAAUCAUGGGGCAUCUCAGUAAGAAGCUGUCAGAAAGAACCUGGAACAGGAUUUGAGCUUUGGUUGGAUAAUUUAGGGGAAGCCCUGAGAAGGUAGAAGUUUUCACCAGAUUAGACACCGUCAGAAAGUAAGGAUGGCCCUUUGACUGGGAGUCUCUGUAAAUCUUGUCAAGGGAGCAGAGAUUAGAUGAGGACAUCAGUAAUUGGUGAAGAAAUAGCAAUUGUUCAUUUUGACUGAGAGGGAGUGUUUGAUAUUUUGUGGAUGGCACAGGACCUUGCUUUUGUUUGUGUUUAGACAAAACUGCAAUGGGCUUGUUGCAUCUCAUUUUAUCAUGGUCUCAGAGUAACUUUGUUCGAGGUUGUCAUUCUGUGAAACAGUUUAUAUCUAAUAGAUAGUGUGCUUAUGUCUGCAUGCCAGGCCGUUUUCCAAAUGUCAGAGACUGUCCUUGUUUGUUCCCAGUGGAUAUGUUAAGGUUAUAGAUCCUGGGGUUUAGACUGUCUGGGCUCACUUCCCAACAGCUCCACUCAUCAGCUCUGGGACCUGAAGCAAGCUGUUAACCUCAGUGAGCCUCAGUUUUCCCAUGUAUGAAAUGAAGAGAACUAUGGUGCUCAUUUUACCUCUAGGAUGGUAGAGUGGAUUAAAUGAGAUGUAGCCACAGUGUCUAGCAUAUAGUGGUUGUGAAGUGAACUUUUAAAAAAGUUUGACUUGUAAACUUCACUUUCCUUGUUGUCACAUUGGUUUUAGUAGUGGUGGGAAGGCUAGUACUAUAGAGUAGGACUGUAUGUCCAGGAUUAGCUCAAUUUAUUGAUUUUCCAUUAAGUGUUGGAGAAAACUAACAGAAGCCCCUGCAUCAUUUCUUCCCUUGGAAUAAAGUUCUGCUAUAGCCACAGCUUCAUUUAUUGCAUAUAUUAUGCCAGGGACCAUGUUAAGCCCCUGCUAGGGAGUAGCUCAGGUAAUCUUUACAGCAGCCCGAUGAAGUAGGUUAAGUUGGCACUAUUUCCAUUGGCCCCGUUUUUCCACAAGGAAACUGAGGUCAGUCAGAUAAAGUACUGGAGCUGCCUCAGCUAAAAGAGAAUGAGGAGUUGAACCUGGGGAGUCCGGUUCUGCAUCCUAAAGUUCAACCUCACCAUGCUGCUUCUUACUGUGCUUGCAGAAAGGAAAGAGGCUUGCUCCCACCUGGAAGAGAGGGACAUCAGGCAGGGUGGGCAGGAUGCAAUGUAAGUUCCCAAGACAGCCAGGCUUCUAAGGAGGCCUUCAGCUGGGACACAGAGGGAUCAGGAGCAGGCAUGUCUGAAAUUAGGAAACACCUUAACAGCACGAACCAAGGUGGGCAAGCUGGCUGGCCCUGCAGUGAGGACCCUGAGACCACUAGUCAGCCCUUGGGUCCCUGAGUUACAGAGAGAUAAGGGGAAGACCCUGUGUGCCCCCAGGCAGCGUACCUGCAGAGACUUGGGGUGAACACAGCAGUCUUCGAGAGGCGUCAUGUGAUCGGGGGUGCUGCUGUCACUGAGGAAAUCAUCCCAGGGUUUAAAUUCUCUCGAGCAUCCUACCUCCUCAGCCUGCUGAGGCCACAGAUUUACACUGACCUGGAGCUAAAGAAACAUGGGCUGAGGCUUCAUCUGCGAAAUCCCCAUUCCUUCACCCCCAUGCUGGAAGAGGGCACAGGGAGCAAGGUGCCUAGGUCCCUUCUGCUGGGCACAGACAUGGCAGAAAACCAGAAGCAGAUUGCCCAGUUCUCACAGAAAGAUGCCCAGGCCUUUCCCAGAUAUGAAGAGUACAUGAGCCGCUUGGUACUGGCCAUUGACCCUCUGCUGGAUGUAGCCCCUGUGGACAUGGUGGCCUUCCAGCAUGACUCUCUGUUGCAGAAGCUGAAGGCCCUGUCCACCCUCAAGCCCCUGCUGAAGGCAGGCUGCAUCCUGGGGGCCCAGCUUCCCCAGUACUACCAGGUCUUCACAGCUCCCAUUACUAAGGUGCUGGAUCAGUGGUUUGAGUCUGAGCCUCUAAAGGCCACUCUAGCAACAGAUGCUGUGAUUGGAGCCAUGACAAGUCCCCACACUCCGGGGAGUGGGUAUGUUCUGCUGCAUCAUGUGAUGGGAGGCCUGGAGGGAAUAAGGGGUGCCUGGGGCUAUGUCCAGGGUGGCAUGGGUGCCCUCUCUGAUGCCAUUGCAAGCUCAGCCACUGUGCAUGGUGCAAGUAUUUUCACUGAAAAGACAGUGGCUAAGGUACAAGUCAACAGUGAAGGCCGAGUUCAAGGAGUUGUACUACAGGAUGGCCUGGAGGUCAGGAGCAAAGUGGUGCUGUCCAGUGCAUCGCCUCAGGUCACCUUCCUGAAGUUGACGCCACAGGAGUGGCUUCCGGAGGCAUUCAUAGAGAGAAUCUCCCAGCUGAACACCCAGUCUCCUGUUACCAAGAUCAAUGUGGCUGUGGAUAGGCUGCCCAACUUUCUGGCAGCCCCUAAUGCUCCCAGAGGCCAGCCGCUUCCCCAUCACCAGUGCUCUAUCCACUUGAACUGUGAAAACACCCUUCUCCUCCAUCAGGCCUUUGAAGAUGCCAAGGGCGGCCUGCCUUCCCACAGGCCUAUGAUUGAGCUCUGCAUCCCUUCCUCGCUGGACCCCACACUGGCUCCUCCCGGGUGCCACGUCAUCUCCCUCUUCACCCAGUACACGCCCUACACUCUGGCGGGAGGCAAGAUCUGGGAUGAGCAGGAGAGAAAUGCUUACACAGACAAAGUAUUCGAAUGCAUCGAGGCCUAUGCCCCUGGCUUCAAGGGCUCUGUGGUGGGCAGAGACAUCCUCACCCCACCAGAUUUGGAGAGAGUCUUUGGGCUCCCUGGAGGGAACAUAUUCCACUGUGCAAUGUCCCUGGACCAGCUCUAUUUCGCCCGCCCGGUGCCACUGCACUCUGGGUACCGCUCCCCUCUCUGGGGCCUGUAUCUCUGUGGCAGCGGGGCCCAUCCUGCAACCAAGGGUAGCCACCAAGUGGAUUCAGCUAAGGCUGCACGGGAGCCUAGCACUGAAAACUCCAGAGCAUUCAGCCUCCUGCUUCCUAUAAGGUCUUGGAUCACAAGAGUGCAGCUGUGGUCCUAGCAAACAUUCCUUCCUACAGAAGAGGAACUGGGAUGUGGCCUGGGGAGGGGAAGAGCUGUUACAGCACCAGGAGGAAGAGUUUCCUACUGUUCUGUGAUUUCCCAUCAUGUGUCUGAACUCUCUGAAAGUUGCCUGUUUCCCGAAAGCAGGAGGGAACACUUCCUCUGAGGCAAGAUCCUGUGAGAAGCUGACAUGGCAGGAAGCUCACCUGGCUAAGUCAUUACAUCCUACAGCCAGCACUUCUGCACUGAUGGCCCUGGGAGAUGGAGACCAGAGGCUCAGUCACACCUGAGGUUUACAGCUCUGGGAGGGAUUCUGCCAUCCUAGUUGGAAAAAUGACAGAGGCGGCUGACCAGCUUCAGGCCUUGCAGUUUGCAGAGGAGUUGACAAGCACUGAAUUCUUCUGUUGGACAUUGAUGUCACACCCACAGUAAAGGCUGGAAUGCAGGAGUGGAGACAAGCAAGGCACAGGAGGGCAUUUGGUGGGGGUGUGAGGACGCAGGAAGUUACAGGAAGAAAUGCUAAAUGCAGGAGAGAGAGACAGACAGAAACCAAAAAAAAAAAAAAUUAACCUCAUGAG
Heterocephalus glaber (naked mole-rat) is the source of this 5056-nucleotide RNA transcript. It is a transcript of the gene named pyridine nucleotide-disulphide oxidoreductase domain 2, with no coding region annotated. Lineage: Eukaryota; Metazoa; Chordata; Mammalia; Rodentia; Bathyergidae. The record is from RefSeq and is a predicted model, not a curated record.